GGAGAGAUGACAGAGUGGUCGAUCGUGGCGGUCUCGAAAACCGUUGUACGGGCAACCGUACCGGGAGUUCGAAUCUCCCUCUCUCCGCCA
RNAcentral lists this transfer RNA (90 nucleotides) under Alphaproteobacteria bacterium. RNAcentral describes it as "tRNA-Ser". It matches the Rfam family "tRNA". Rfam says of the family: Transfer RNA (tRNA) molecules are approximately 80 nucleotides in length. Their secondary structure includes four short double-helical elements and three loops (D, anti-codon, and T loops). Further hydrogen bonds mediate the characteristic L-shaped molecular structure. tRNAs have two regions of fundamental functional importance: the anti-codon, which is responsible for specific mRNA codon recognition, and the 3' end, to which the tRNAs corresponding amino acid is attached (by aminoacyl-tRNA synthetases). tRNAs cope with the degeneracy of the genetic code in two manners: having more than one tRNA (with a specific anti-codon) for a particular amino acid; and 'wobble' base-pairing, i.e. permitting non-standard base-pairing at the 3rd anti-codon position. The record is from RNAcentral. RNAcentral also lists the same sequence under 1 other name. Lineage: Bacteria; Pseudomonadati; Pseudomonadota; Alphaproteobacteria.